Molecule: RNA transcript, 4154 nt
Organism: Diceros bicornis minor
Lineage: Eukaryota; Metazoa; Chordata; Mammalia; Perissodactyla; Rhinocerotidae
Gene: CD163
Gene name: CD163 molecule
Exons: 17
Source: RefSeq, a predicted model, not a curated record
CCACUGCCAAUGUCCCAGUCCCUGGAGAGGUCUCACCUCUCACCUAGAUGCACUCAGGGCCUAUCAGACUUUAGCAGAUGUUUUGUCCACUUGAGUUCCUUCCCUAUUGCUGUGGUCUCAGUUCUCAGUGCCUGUUUGAUCACCAGUUCUCUUGGAGGAACAGACAAGGAGCUGAGACUAACAGCUGGCAAAGACAAGUGUACUGGGAGAGUGGAGGUGAAAAUCCAGGAGGAGUGGGGAACUGUGUGUAAUAAUGGCUGGGACAUGGAUGAGGUCUCUGUGAUUUGUAGGCAGCUAGGAUGUCCAACUGUUAUCAAAGCCCCUGGAUGGGCUAAUUCUAGUGCAGGCUCGGGACGCAUUUGGAUGGAUCAUGUUUCUUGUCGAGGGAAUGAAUCAGCUCUCUGGGAUUGCAAACAUGAUGGAUGGGGAAAGCAUAACUGCACUCACCAACAGGAUGCUGGAGUAACCUGUUCAGAUGGAUCCAGUUUGGAGAUGAGGCUGAGGAAUGGAGGACACAGGUGUUCAGGAAGAAUAGAGGUCAAAUUCCAAGGACAAUGGGGAACAGUAUGUGAUGAUAACUUUAGCUUGGAUCAUGCUUCUGUGGUUUGUAAACAACUUGAAUGUGGAAGUGCUGUCAGUUUCUCUGGUUCAGCUAAUUUUGGAGAAGGUUCUGGACCAAUCUGGUUUGAUGAUCUUGUAUGCAAUGGAACUGAGUCAGCUCUCUGGAACUGCAAACACGAAGGAUGGGGAAAGCAUAACUGUGAUCAUGCUGAGGAUGUUGGAGUGAUUUGCUUAGAAGGAGCAGAUCUGAACCUGAGAGUGGUGGAUGGAGUCACUGAAUGUUCGGGAAGAUUAGAAGUGAAAUUCCAAGGAGAAUGGGGGACAGUUUGUGAUGACGGCUGGGAUAGUAGUGAUGCUGCUGUGGCAUGUAAGCAACUGGGAUGUCCAACUGACGUCACUGCCAUUGGUCGAGUUAAUGCCAGUGAGGGAACUGGACGCAUUUGGCUUGACAGUGUUGCCUGCCAAGGACAUGAAUCUGCUCUCUGGAAGUGUAAACACAAUGAAUGGGGAAAGCAUUAUUGCAAUCACAAAGAAGAUGCUGGUGUGAUGUGUUCUGAUGGAUCAGAUCUGGAACUGAGACUUAUAGGUGGAGGCAGCCGCUGUGCUGGGGCAGUGGAGGUGGAAAUUCAGAAACUGUUUGGGAAAGUAUGUGACAGAAGCUGGGGACUGAAAGAAGCUGAUGUGGUUUGCAGGCAGCUGGGAUGUGGAUCUGCACUCAAAACAUCCUAUCAAAUUUAUUCCAAAAUUAAGACAACAAACACUUGGCUAUUUUCAGGCAGCUGUGAUGGAAACGAAACUUCUUUUUGGGACUGCAAGAAUUGGCAAUGGGGUGGACUUACCUGUGAUCCCUAUGCAGAAGCCAAAAUUACCUGCUCAGCCCACAGGGAACCCAGACUGGUUGGAGGGGACAUUCCCUGCUCUGGUCGUGUUGAAGUGAAACAUGGCGACACAUGGGGCUCCAUCUGUGAUUCUGACUUCUCUCUGGAAGCUGCUCAUGUGCUGUGCAGGGAAUUACAAUGUGGCACAGUCGUCUCUAUCCUGGGGGGAGCUCAUUUUGGAGAAGGAAAUGGACAGAUCUGGGCUGAAGAAUUCCAGUGUGAGGGGCACGAGUCCCAUCUUUCACUCUGCCCGGUAGCACCCCGCCCAGAGGGGACCUGUAGCCACAGCCGGGACGUUGGAGUAGUCUGCUCAAGAUACACAGAAAUCCGCUUGAUGAAUGGCAAGUCUGCAUGUGAGGGAAGAGUGGAGCUCAAGAUUCUUGGGACAUGGGGAUCCCUCUGCAAUUCUCACUGGGACAUGGAAGAUGCCCAUGUUUUUUGCCAGCAGCUUAAAUGUGGAGUUGCCCUUUCUACCCAAGGAGGAGCACAUUUUGGGAAAGGAAGUGGUCAGGUCUGGAGGCACAUGUUUCACUGCACUGGGACUGAGAAGCACAUGGGAGAUUGUCCUGUAACUGUUCUGGGUGCAUCGCUAUGUUCUGCAGGGCAAGUGGCCUCUGUAAUCUGCUCAGGAAACCAGAGUCAUACGCUAUCUCCAUGCAAUUCAUCAUCUCCAGACCCAACAAGCUCUACCAUUUCAGAAGAAAGUGCUGUUGCCUGCAUAGGGAGCGGUCAACUUCGCCUGGUAAAUGGAGGCGGUCGCUGUGCCGGGAGAAUAGAGAUCUAUCAUGAGGGCUCCUGGGGCACCAUCUGUGAUGACAGCUGGGACCUGAGUGAUGCCCAUGUGGUGUGUAGACAGCUGGGCUGUGGAGUGGCCAUUAAUGCUACUGGUUCUGCUUAUUUUGGGGAAGGAACAGGGCCCAUCUGGCUAGACGAGGUGGACUGUAAUGGAAAAGAAUCUCAUAUUUCGCAAUGCCCUUCACAUGGCUGGGGACGGCACAAUUGCAGGCACAAGGAGGAUGCAGGAGUUAUCUGCUCAGAGUUCAUGUCUCUGAGACUGAUCAAUGAAAACAGCAGAGAGACCUGUGCAGGGCGUCUGGAAGUUUUUUACAGUGGAGCCUGGGGCAGCGUUGGCAAGAGUAACAUAUCUGACAUCACUGUGGGGGUGGUAUGCAGGCAGCUGGGCUGUGCAGACAAGGGGACCAUUAGCCCUGCAUCUUUACACAAGACAACGUCCAGGCAGAUGUGGGUGGACAAUGUUCAGUGUCCGAAAGGACCUGAUACAUUAUGGCAGUGCCCAUCGUCUCCAUGGAAGCAGAGAAUGGCCAGCCCCUCAGAGGAGAUCUGGAUCACAUGUGACAACAAGAUAAGACUUGAAGAAGGAAACACUACUUGUUCUGGACGUGUGGAGAUCUGGCACGAAGGUUCCUGGGGGACAGUGUGUGAUGACUCUUGGGACUUUAACGAUGCUCAGGUGGUGUGUCGACAGCUGGGAUGUGGCCCAGCUUUGGAGGCACUAAAAGAGGCGGCGUUUGGUCAAGGGACUGGGCCCAUAUGGCUCAAUGAAGUGAAGUGCACAGGGAAUGAGUCUUCUUUGUGGGAUUGUCCUGCCCGAUCCUGGGGGCACAGUGACUGUGGGCACAAGGAAGAUGCUGCUGUGAGGUGCUCAGUACCUGAAAAAGAAUCAUCAAAUGCCACAGGUCACUCAUUCCUUGUUAUACUUGGGAUUCUCGGGGUAAUUCUGUUGGCCUUUCUCAUCGCACUUCUCCUGUGGACUCAGAAGCGAAGACGGAGACAGCGGCUUACAGUUUCCUCAAGAGGAGAGAAUUCUGUCCACCAAAUUCAAUAUCGGGAGAUGAAUUCUUGCCUGAAGGCAGAUGAUCUGGACCUGCUGAAUUCCUCAGAGGACCAUUGAGGUACACUGAGGUAUACUGAAAAGGAAAAUGGGAAUCUAUUACCCAGUGAGUUCAGCCUUUAUGAUACUGUGAUGAAGAAUGGACUAUUGAAUGGACCAAGAAUCCACCUCGUUCACUGAAGACUACAGUCCUUUGUCUCCUAGUAUUCCAAAGACCACUGCUGAAUUUAUAAAAAUUAAACAGUGAAUGUGACUACUAAGAGCUGUGUAUAAGACUUUCAAGGGGGUUAAACAAAAAGAAAUAUUGUUAAUUUGAAUUUGUCUUAAACUUGUUCUUGAUUUUAUGAAUUUGUGAAUGGGCUUUCUGACUUCUUUAGGGUUUCCAAAAUAUAAUAUGAUGACUUUUCAUUUGAUAAUAUUUUCAUUUGCAUAUAAUAUAUAUUUUUCUAGUUUGGUUUAAAUAAUAGUUUUCUUCUUAUUACCAAAUAAAAACAAAUUUAUUUUUCCUUUAGUUUUCUUAAGAAAGGGAAAGUUAAUGAUUAUUGAAUGGUUUGUUAAUAAUAUAUGGUUAUCUCUGAAAGGCGUGACUCUCAUUGGUUCUUUAACCAAAAAUUAUCUAAUCAUUUAUUCUUUCAUUCAACAAAACUUACUGACCACCUACUGUUUGUCAGCUACUGUGCAUUAAAUACCCAACUAUAUGCCAUGUACUGUGCACCCAAUUAUAUCAGGUAUUAUAUAUGUGUGUAAAUAUAUAUAAAUCUCCAAUUACAAUAUACACACCUAGGAACCCCACCUAUAUGAUAAUUAACAUGAAUCUUUUUGUUCAUAUUUUAAAGUGACAUAUUCUAUAUUUUAUAUUUUGU